GGGCCCAUAGCUCAGCCUGGUAGAGCAGCAGACUCUUAAUCUGCCUGUCGAGGGUUCAAAUCCCUCUGGGCUCG
This 74-nucleotide transfer RNA is filed under the name Candidatus Iainarchaeum sp. RNAcentral describes it as "tRNA-Lys". It matches the Rfam family "tRNA". From Rfam's summary of the family: Transfer RNA (tRNA) molecules are approximately 80 nucleotides in length. Their secondary structure includes four short double-helical elements and three loops (D, anti-codon, and T loops). The record is from RNAcentral. Lineage: Archaea; Nanobdellati; Candidatus Iainarchaeota; Candidatus Iainarchaeia; Candidatus Iainarchaeales; Candidatus Iainarchaeaceae.